GGCGCCGGAAGUACAUUACUGUCUUUACUGUCUUUACUGUCUUUGAUCUUAUAGCUAGGUGAGUGUUUUUAAUACCAGAUACCUAUGAAAGAAGCGUAGCUAAUUUGAUGGUCUGAAUUUCAUUCUCUGGCUACCGUUAGCUAAGAUAGCAAGCUUAUCGUGUAUGUGGACACAGUAGUAUUGUUGACAGCACUGGCCGUUAGGUAUUUGUUACAAAUUGAAAUGUUCACAUGAUUCAUUUGAUAGGGUGUCAAUCUUACUUCGGGUGUGUUCAUUAGUCAGAUGACGUUGUAAAACGUUUUGUCUGUUUACAACUGAAACCAUUUUACUCUAAACAUAAAUACAUAAAUUUGCAACGAAAACGAGAGUUUCUAUUGGACAAAUUCAGUAACCAUGGAAUCUGCCUGUCGCAAAGACCAGCCAAAACUGAACUCCACUCCUACCAGAGGAGGCGGGGCCAAGCAGAAAUCUACCCAGCAGGAACUGCGACAGCGCACAGAGGUCUACACCCUGAAUAAGGUGAUGACAGAGCAGGAGCAGGAGCAGCAGAUGCUGUCCCAGGGAGAGUGACUGACAGCCUCCCCACGGCCUCCCAGCAACCUUAACCUCCAGCAGCCCUGUCCCAAAGCACACCUACAGGCUCAACCAGUAAAACAAGAGUAUUUCUUACAGAUCACACACAUUGAACUGUGAAUGGCUGGUCCUGUUAUGUAGCAAUCCCCAUAGACAUGAGAAUGAUGUGGGUCACUGUGGGUCACCUUUGUGUAUUCUCACCGGUUGCCUUUCCUGUCUUCUCAUGUGCUGAAACACUCUUGUUUGCUGGUAUGUGUAAUGUUGUCACUGUACCAGUCACCAUGUUAAACACUGUUUUCUGGCAAGGAGUGUAAGGACCAUCACACGCAGACAGACUCAAACACUAUGCGGAUACAGCCAUUGGUUAUCAACAUGCUCCACAUGUGGACAUACAUUGUAACAAUGUAACAAUGAGGUUUAUUGGUGGAUAUUCUAUGUGCAGAGAAGGACUGUGUAAUGAAGAGGUGUCAGGUUUCAGUCCCAGAGGACCAUAUGAGAUGGCCAGGCCUUUGUACCAGGCCAGCUCCAGCACCUGAUUUCAACUGUUCGAGCUGUCUUUAAUUUGUACCACGAUCAUUUAAAUCAGGUGUAUUACAUGGCUGGAACAAAAACCUGCACAGGACUCAUUAUGCCCACCUAUUGGUGUAAUGUAUUUGUAACAGGUAUGUGAUGGAUCUGAGUGGCUACUGCUGUGUCAGUCCCAGACAAAGUUAGAUGCCACCUCUGUCCCCUUUACUCUUUGCCCAUCUCUCAAUCUAUACUGUGUCAAUAUGAAUUGUGCUUAUUUAUGCUUGGUUUUAAACACCUUGUUUUAGAGUAUUGUUUGUGUACUACAGUGAGUACAGCACUGUAUAAAAUAUGCUUAUCUCAACUCUGAUACAGUUCAGUCCAAAUUCUGUAUCCUAGUUGUGUCUGUCCACUUCCACACUGCUGUUAUUGUGACCGUCUUAACAUGCUGUUCCACCGUUAUCGUUGUAUCAACGUUUGAUACACUGUCGUCUAAAACAUGUUCUUAAAGCCUUGUUUUAAUGAA
Long non-coding RNA from Oncorhynchus tshawytscha (Chinook salmon), 1606 nucleotides. RefSeq lists it as uncharacterized. The transcript is spliced from 3 exons. Lineage: Eukaryota; Metazoa; Chordata; Actinopteri; Salmoniformes; Salmonidae. The record is from RefSeq and is a predicted model, not a curated record.